AGAGUUUGAUUCUGGCUCAGGAUGAACGCUAGCUACAGGCUUAACACAUGCAAGUCGAGGGGCAGCAUUGGAGUAGCAAUACUCAGAUGGCGACCGGCGCACGGGUGAGUAACACGUAUCCAACCUGCCGCUUACUCGGGGAUAGCCUUUCGAAAGAAAGAUUAAUACCCGAUGGUAUAAAGAGUUCGCAUGUUCUCUUUAUUAAAGAAUUUCGGUAAGCGAUGGGGAUGCGUUCCAUUAGAUAGUUGGCGGGGUAACGGCCCACCAAGUCUACGAUGGAUAGGGGUUCUGAGAGGAAGGUCCCCCACAUUGGAACUGAGACACGGUCCAAACUCCUACGGGAGGCAGCAGUGAGGAAUAUUGGUCAAUGGACGAGAGUCUGAACCAGCCAAAAGUAGCGUGAAGGAUGACUGCCCUAUGGGUUGUAAACUUCUUUUAUAAGGGAAUAAAGUGAGGGACGUGUCCCUUUUUGUAUGUACCUUAUGAAUAAGGAGCGGCUAACUCCGUGCCAGCCGCGGC
This 519-nucleotide ribosomal RNA is filed under the name uncultured bacterium. Its description in RNAcentral is "bacterial SSU rRNA". It matches the Rfam family "Bacterial small subunit ribosomal RNA", at positions 8 to 518 of the family's 1533-position model. The record is from RNAcentral.